GGCCGCAUCCGUGUUCAUCCUCAACCUUUAUAUAUGUUAUGUUUUAUCAUCCAUCAAAUACAACUUACAUUUCAAUAUUAAGAAUGAACACAAAUGCGGCCACUUUCAUUUUAGACAGAAUCCAUCUAAAAUUUAACAAAAAUGCAAAAGUUUUGAAGAUUUCAGUAAUUUAGCAUGACUUUAUGAUGCUAGUACCCGAUAUAUGUACAUUGUAUUGUCAAAAACAGCUCAUAUUUAUGUAGCAGAAGCAU
Molecule: long non-coding RNA, 251 nt
Filed under: Mytilus galloprovincialis (Mediterranean mussel)
Lineage: Eukaryota; Metazoa; Mollusca; Bivalvia; Mytilida; Mytilidae
Source: RNAcentral